Molecule: long non-coding RNA, 241 nt
Filed under: Elaeis guineensis (African oil palm)
Lineage: Eukaryota; Viridiplantae; Streptophyta; Magnoliopsida; Arecales; Arecaceae
Description: long non-coding RNA (EGUI_LNC077747)
Source: RNAcentral
CACCACAUCCAAAACACCUCAUACAAGGAUCAAAGAACCAAGUUAAGAAGUGAACCAAAAUAUGCAUCCACGUACACAAGGUAUCAUGGUGAUCUCAGGUCAAAGGAUCACUUACACAACUUUCACUAGAGAACAAUCAGCGGAUAUGUAAAUAAGACUCCAUCAGAUAUUCUUUCAUAGGUCUAUUCAGUGAACUCAUUCUCUAAUGAGUACCUACAUCUUUGUAUUAGUAUUACCAUAC